RNAcentral lists this ribosomal RNA (323 nucleotides) under uncultured eukaryote. RNAcentral's name for it is "partial 18S ribosomal RNA". It matches the Rfam family "Eukaryotic small subunit ribosomal RNA", at positions 1470 to 1796 of the family's 1831-position model. The record is from RNAcentral.
CCCUUAGAUGUCUGGGCUGCACGCGCGCUACACUGAUGUGUCCAGUAAGCACCUAACCUCUUCCGAAAGGAACGGGUAACCUUUGCAAAGCACAUCGUGAUGGGGAUAGAUUAUUGCAAUUAUUAGUCUUGAACGAGGAAUUCCUAGUAAGCACAAGUCAUCAGCUUGUGUUGAUUACGUCCCUGCCCUUUGUACACACCGCCCGUCGCUCCUACCGAUUGAAUGUUCCGGUGAGCUCUUCGGACUGCGCGGUCUGCAGUUUCUGCGUUCCGUGCGGAAAGUUGCGCAAACCUUAACAUUUAGAGGAAGGAGAAGUCGUAACA